Molecule: transfer RNA, 73 nt
Filed under: Candida tropicalis
Lineage: Eukaryota; Fungi; Ascomycota; Pichiomycetes; Serinales; Debaryomycetaceae
Also listed under: 2 other names
Description: tRNA-Cys (GCA) (tRNA-Cys-GCA-1-1)
Rfam family: tRNA
About the family: Transfer RNA (tRNA) molecules are approximately 80 nucleotides in length. Their secondary structure includes four short double-helical elements and three loops (D, anti-codon, and T loops).
Source: RNAcentral
GCUCCUAUGGUCUAGGGGUUAAGACAUUCGAUUGCAAAUCGAUUGGUCCCCGGUUCAAAUCCGGGUGGGAGCU